GAUGAAGAACGUAGCGAAUUGCGAUAAGUAAUGUGAAUUGCAGAUUUUCAGUGAAUCAUCGAAUCUUUGAACGCACCUUGCGCCCCCUGGUAUUCCGGGGGGCAUGCCUGUCCGAGCGUCAUUGCUGCCCUCAAGCACGGCUUGUGUGUUGGGCCUCCGUCCUCCUCCCGGGGGACGGGCCCGAAAGGCAGCGGCGGCACCGCGUCCGGUCCUCGAGCGUAUGGGGCUUCGUCACCCGCUCUUGUAGGCCCGGCCGGCGCUUGCCGACACAUCAAUCUUUUUUCCAGGUUGACCUCGGAUCAGGUAGGGAUACCCGCUGAACUUAAGCAUAUCAAUAAGCGGAGGA
Molecule: unclassified non-coding RNA, 346 nt
Filed under: soil metagenome
Description: partial contains 5.8S ribosomal RNA, internal transcribed spacer 2, and large subunit ribosomal RNA
Rfam family: 5.8S ribosomal RNA (bases 1-121)
Source: RNAcentral